Molecule: long non-coding RNA, 2400 nt
Organism: Sparus aurata (gilthead seabream)
Lineage: Eukaryota; Metazoa; Chordata; Actinopteri; Spariformes; Sparidae
Source: Ensembl
UGUUCAAGUCAAGGAGUUUGUAUCUGUGUGCAUUUACUAACCUCUUUUUAAUCUAUCCUAUUUUGUCAUACUGAAGGCUGCGUGUCCAGACCCUGCAACAUUCCUCUGCUCAUCUGUGUCAGUUGUUCCUCACUUCAAUCUUCAUUAAGACAGAGAUUAACAUUCAGCAGGGGGCAGAAUGUGACUCAUUCAGUCAGCCGUUUAUCUGGGAACAGGUAAAAAUAGAAUCUGAACAGAGACGUGUACAGUAAGUGUGUACAGUGAUGUUAUCCAAAUUGAAUGACAGUAACAUACAAAAAGUUAGGCUAAACAGUUUGUUGGAAGUAACUUGAACAUAAAUAAAUGAUAUGUUCAUGUAUGUAUGCAGGAAGCCAGACUGGCUGAAUGUGAGCAAAUGCUGGUGACCAUGGACCUUGCACUGUGGUUGAAUGACGGUAGCACUGCCGUGAAAGCUGUAGUUAACUGUUACAGCCUCUUAGCACCACUAAUCUUCCAUCAGAUCACCUGUGACUCUGUGGUGCAGGUAUGUAAAACCUUACUCAUACAAGUCUUAAUAUUCUGUGACAUAAUAGAUAGCUUUAAUAAUACACAUGUUUAUGCCUCUGUCUGUGUCAGGUGUUAAACAAAUGCCUGAUAGUUCUGGAGGUGAAUUCAGGUAUUCUCAAGCAGAAAUGGACUGGAUGCACCUCAGAGUCACUUAUGCACAUGAUAGCCUGCAUCACCUACUACCUGUCGAAGGCAUCACGUGUGCUCAGGGAGCAUCAGAUGGCUUCUGUGAUGAUGGAAUGUGGUCGCAGGCUGCUCCAGGAGGUCUAUGAUGCCCAGCUGCAGAUGGCUUCUAAGACAGAUCAUGCAGCAGUCGAGUAUGAAACAAACGUAAAUAUUCAGCUGAAGGCACUGCUUUGGAAGAACAGGCCAAGAAUCACAUCUGAAGCAGCCCUAUUAGCAGACAGUGGUAACACAUGGAAGCACGCAAAUACACACACAUUAGGACUCACUGGUUAGAAAAAAACAAAAAAACUAAUAUGUUGAAAGCAAGGUGGUUUUGAAAACAAGAUGUUUACAGUGUCUGACUUUUUAUUAUAAUUGAAUUGAAUAAUUGAACGUUUGCUGAAAAUACGCUCGCUGGAAAAAAUGCUGGCUCUUUUAUUCCAACAUUUUCGGAACAAUGAACAAUGUACAUUAUGUUUUAUAAUAUACUUACUGUAGUUGAAUAUACAUCUAUAAUAUACUUACUGUUAAUAAUACAAUAUUUUCUUAUCAUGAAAAUAUGAAAAAUACUUUGCUUAUUCAUCAAAUCUUACACUGGAUUAUAACUCAUCUCUUUAGCAAGACUGUUCCAAAUGUGAUAUUUGAUUAGAUUACUCAGCUAUCCCUUUAACGACUCUACACUAUGUCCAGCAUAAUAGACAAUCAAUGUUGUUACACAUAUAUCCAAUUAGUAUUUUUCCUGAACUCCACAUUGUACAUGACUGUCUUUUUUUCUUCAGAGAUUCCACGGCCACUGACUGGCUUUGAGGAUCCCAUCAUACUGUAUGAUGUGAUCACCAACAGCACAUUAAAGGAUGCCUAUCAAGAUGGUAAGUAAUACACACUCACAAACUUUUCUCUAUUAAUGUUUAGUCUCGUUCACUGACGCCUGUGUUCUUGUGUGUGUGUCCUUGAUAGUGAUGAAACUCAGACACAAGGCUCAUAUUAUUGAGUUUGCGGCACUCCUUCUUCAGAGAACCAUGGAAGAGGGCCAACCAGACCUUGUGUUAAAGUGGGGUCAAAGCAUAUUUAAAUUUCUUGCCAGGUGUGCUUUUACUUUAUAUAUCUCUUAUAUCUAAAAUUAAUGAUUUCAGCUUUUUUUCAUCAUCAUUUUACUUUAACACUCAAAGAAUGCAUUGCUGUCCGCUUUCUAGGAAUCAUACUUCACUUUAUCAUAGGUAGUAGCAGCCUAAGCUGAGAAAGGUUUGACAGUAUAAGAAUGGUUCUGUCUUUGUCAGGCGUGACGAGGAAAUACGACUGUCCACCAAAUAUUUGGAAGGAAACAGUCAGAGUAAAAGAAGAUGUAGUGCUCGGAUUCAAAAAGAAACUGAGCCACCUCAGGUAAAAAUACAACUAUGCAACUAAAAUAUAAUGCAAUAUUUAAUAAAAAUUCAGCAUAUUCACACUUGUUGCUAUGUCUUAACAUAUAAUAUAAAUACUUUAUCUGGAUUUUUUGUGGCAGAACAAGAACAAACCUUCUCACAAUGACACAAGAAAGAAACCAAAACAGAAAAUGCCACACAGCAUGCUUCAGAGAGUGAAAACUAAGAGGUACGCUAUGUGUUUGUGUAUGUUUAUCUUUGGAUACAUGUUGGAUCACAUUAACCACAUGUGCACUGGAACUCUUGCGUGUGUGUAGGGAUGUGAACG